Molecule: ribosomal RNA, 945 nt
Filed under: Pseudoalteromonas sp.
Lineage: Bacteria; Pseudomonadati; Pseudomonadota; Gammaproteobacteria; Alteromonadales; Pseudoalteromonadaceae
Description: bacterial SSU rRNA
Rfam family: Bacterial small subunit ribosomal RNA
Source: RNAcentral
CGGAAAAAACCUUAACCCGGGCUAGAGUUUGACCUGGCUCGUUACUUUGAUCAAGGUCGCCUAAGAGCGUGAUCCCUGCUUGGAAACUUGCCUUGAGGUGGGGGACAACAGUUGGAAACGACUGCUAAUACCGCAUAAUGUCUACGGACCAAAGGGGGCUUCUGCUCUCGCCUUUAGAUUGGCCCAAGUGGGAUUAGCUAGUUGGUGAGGUAAUGGCUCACCAAGGCGACGAUCCCUAGCUGGUUUGAGAGGAUGAUCGGCCACACUGGGACUGAGACACGGCCCAGACUCCUACGGGAGGCCGCAGUGGGGAAUAUUGCACAAUGGGCGCAAGCCUGAUGCAGCCAUGCCGCGUGUGUGAAGAAGGCCUUCGGGUUGGAAAGCACUUUCUGUCAGGAGGAAAGGUUAGAAGUUAAUACCUGCUAGCUGUGACGUUACUGACUGAAGAAGCACCGGCUAACUCCGUGCCAGCAGCCGCGGUAAUACGGAGGGUGCGAGCGUUAAUCGGAAUUACUGGGCGUAAAAGCGUACGCAGGCGGUUUGUUAAGCGAGAUGUGAAAGCCCCGGGCUCAACCUGGGAACUGCAUUUCGAACUGGCAAACUAAAGUGUGAUAGAGGGUGGAAAAAUUUCAGGUGUACCCUGAAAUGCGUAGAGAUCUGAAGGAAUACCGAUGGCGAAGGCAGCCACCUGGGGUCAACACUGACCCUCUUGUACAAAGCGUGGGGAGCAACAGGAAUAGAAUACCCUGGUAAUCCACGCCGUAACGAUCUCUACUAAAAGCUCGGAGCCUCGGCUCUGUUUUCUACGCUAACGCAUUAGUAGACCGCCUGGGGAGUACGGCCCGCAGGUUAAAACUCAAAUGAACUGACAGGAAGCCGACGCAACCGUGCACCUGUGGUUUUAUUUCUAUGCAAUGCAAAAACCUUACCUACACUUGACAUAGG